UACGUUCCCGGGCCUUGUACACACCGCCCGUCAAGUCACGAAAGUCGGUAACACCCGAAGCCGGUGGCCCAACCCUUGUGGAGGGAGCCGUCGAAGGUGGGAUUGGCGAUUGGGACU
RNAcentral lists this ribosomal RNA (117 nucleotides) under uncultured bacterium. Its description in RNAcentral is "partial 16S ribosomal RNA". It matches the Rfam family "Bacterial small subunit ribosomal RNA", at positions 1367 to 1482 of the family's 1533-position model. The record is from RNAcentral.